This is a long non-coding RNA of Panicum virgatum (switchgrass), 1108 nucleotides long. RefSeq lists it as uncharacterized. The record is from RefSeq and is a predicted model, not a curated record. NCBI's taxonomy places the organism in Eukaryota, Viridiplantae, Streptophyta, Magnoliopsida, Poales, Poaceae. The transcript is spliced from 3 exons.
UUUCAGGAGGAGGGUCGACGGGGAUCAUGGAGCAGCUGCUCACCAGGCAGCACCAGCAGGUCCUCACCAAGCAGACUGGCGGCUAAGAUGGUGGUUGCUGUGCUCAUCUCUGAAAUCUCAGUUUUGGGUAGCUGACUAUUCUUGCUAUUUCCUGUUUGAGUUGCUACCCUUGUGGUGCAUAGCUAGAACCAAAUUAUGAACUGAACAACUGACACUGCCCCAAACAUACAUGUAGUCGUGACCACAAUUUACAAUAUCAUAAUAUUGUCCCCUCAUGCCUAACUGGUCAAGGAAGUAACGUCACUUAUAUUUUUUUUUAUAAUUGAUCUUUCCUUACUAUCUUGUUUGCUUUAUCUUGUUGCAAUUCUUGGAAGCUUUCUUGCAGCAGUUCAUUACUGAUCGUUAUUCUUGGAAUUACACAGUAUCCGAAUACCAUGUGUAUGAGUUCUUUAGGGUCAGCAUACGCUCCCAUUUGAGUUGUCGGCGAGGAUAUAGGCUGGGGUUGGCGGUUAUGGUAUGGAUCUCUACAUACGACUGAAGCUUGCGGAGGGUAUGCAGCCACAGCCUAGCUAGGCCGAUGGCCUAUUGCCGGUGGCUGGGGACUGAACGGAUCAUUUUUGCCGCCACUUCCCACAAGAAUGGCUCGACAAUUUCUGCAGCUUAUGACCGGCUAAAAGACGGAUGAUGUUUUCUUGGUAACUUGUUCCAUUUGUUCAAGAUGUCUUGCUGCAUAGGAAAGUAUGCCGUUUCAAACUGACCACUACAUCCUGAAGAUCUUUUCUCCUGUCUGACAAGUGACACACAAUAGUCAAUACACUGUUGGCUAUGCAUUAUUAGCAGGGAUUUGUAUGUGAUCAAUUAAUCACAUGAAGUAUUCUACAUUUUGAAAAGAUUUUUUCCAUAUCGUAAGAUAAUCAACUCAAUAUUAUUGGCUGGGAUUGCAUCAGCAUCUCUUUUCUAGAAAUUUUCGUUUUGGCUCCCACUGUAAAGAAAUCAUAUUAUCAUUUUUUUUACCAGUUUAUAGGUUCUAGAGUGAGCAAAACAUAUGAACGAUGAUUCUUGGACACAAUUAAAUAUAUUCUCAAUUUUUUGGGGGUUUGAUGGUUCA